GCUAGGUGUGGUGGCGUACACCUGUAGUCCCAGAUAUUCGGGAGGCUGAGGUGGGAGGAUUGCUUGAGCCUGGGAGGUUGAGACUGCAGUGAGCCAAGAUUGUGCCACUGCACUCCAGCCUGGGUUACAGAGCAAAACCCUGUCUUUA
RNAcentral lists this non-coding RNA (148 nucleotides) under Nomascus leucogenys (northern white-cheeked gibbon). The record is from Rfam by way of RNAcentral. Lineage: Eukaryota; Metazoa; Chordata; Mammalia; Primates; Hylobatidae.